Molecule: ribosomal RNA, 274 nt
Filed under: uncultured bacterium
Lineage: Bacteria
Description: partial 16S ribosomal RNA
Rfam family: Bacterial small subunit ribosomal RNA
Source: RNAcentral
CCCGCCGGCGACCGGCGCACGGGUGAGUAACACGUAUGAAACCUGCCCGUAGCAGGGGGAUAAGCGGAAGAAAUUCCGUCUAAUACCGCGUAACAACCCAUGGAGGCAUCUCUGUGGGUUUAAAGGAAGCGAUUCCGGCUACGGAUGGUCAUGCGUCGCAUUAGCUUGUUGGCGGGGUAACGGCCCACCAAGGCGACGAUGCGUAGGGGUUCUGAGAGGAAGGUCCCCCACACUGGUACUGAGACACGGACCAGACUCCUACGGGAGGCAGCAG